UACGUAGGGUGCGAGCGUUAAUCGGAAUUACUGGGCGUAAAGCGUGCGCAGGCGGGCUUUUAAGCCAGACGUGAAAUCCCCGGGCUUAACCUGGGAAUGGCGUUUGGGACUGGGAGUCUGGAGUGCGGCAGAGGAGACUGGAAUUCCUGGUGUAGCAGUGAAAUGCGUAGAUAUCAGGAGGAACACCGAUGGCGAAGGCAGGUCUCUGGGCUGAUACUGACGCUCAUGCACGAAAGCGUGGGGAGCAAACAGG
This 253-nucleotide ribosomal RNA is filed under the name uncultured bacterium. RNAcentral describes it as "partial 16S ribosomal RNA". It matches the Rfam family "Bacterial small subunit ribosomal RNA", at positions 524 to 776 of the family's 1533-position model. The record is from RNAcentral.